Molecule: small RNA, 931 nt
Filed under: Oryza sativa Japonica Group (Japanese rice)
Lineage: Eukaryota; Viridiplantae; Streptophyta; Magnoliopsida; Poales; Poaceae
Description: sRNA Os02g0816350
Source: RNAcentral
ACCUUGCGGACAUAUGGACUAUGGUUUUCGAAGGCGUCCAGGAGUGCAGGAAGAAAUAUCGACAAAUGUGCCAUAAGAUUGUCCUGUGAUAAUCGAAUAACAAGCUGCAGAUAAAGGAAGAAGUCGAGAAUUAGCAACAAAGAGAAGAAAAAUUGCGUACAUAGCUCACUCAACUAAUAUGAUAUCACAAAAGUGGAGGUAAACAAGAAAGUCAUAAUCCACAGAUAACGAAAUGCAGGAUUAAACAUGUGCUCUUUCACCAUAUAAUUUGAUGGUUUAGCCUACUAGCCUAGUACCAAAAUAUUGUUAGAACUGAACUCGCCAUUUUACCAUACACAAGAUUGACAUAUAUCUUUCCUUUUUUUUAAAAAAAAAGAUUGACAUAUAUCAACUGCACAAUUGCCUGCUUAUUUGGAUUAAACACUUAAGAUACCAACUACUACAAAAGGGAAAAUAAAAUAUCCCAAAGACAAAUAAUACAUACUCUUAGGCAUGUCAGCGGAUCAAAUUGAGUAACCACCGUUGUCAAACAGAUAUGGGCUUGAUUUACAACCUGCAAUGACAAUGUCAUAAAAGGCUUGAGAGGGCAAUAACUUUAUGGCAUCAAGAACUGCAAGCUGAAAAGAACACUGUCAGUGCAGUACCUUCAAGGCAGCAUCUUUGGUUGCAUGCAGCAAUUUAACUAUAAGAGUAUCGAUACAGUUCUCCAUUGCCUUUCGCUGGAUUACAUGGCCAUGACAAAUGUCAUUUUCAUGGAAGAUGGCAUUUAAAUGAUGCCACACCAAGAACACACUCUUAAAUAACUUCAGAAACACUUACUUGCUUUUCAAGAAUUUCAACCAAUAGAGUAAGUGCAAGCUCUCUGGUGGAUUCCUCUGGAUCAUCAAGCAUCUCAAGUAGAGAAGAGGACAUCUGUUGUAAAUUCUGAAAA